This 846-nucleotide long non-coding RNA is filed under the name Anas zonorhyncha (Eastern spot-billed duck). RNAcentral describes it as "lncRNA (ENSAZOG00000008122.1)". Lineage: Eukaryota; Metazoa; Chordata; Aves; Anseriformes; Anatidae. The record is from RNAcentral.
AUGGCGGUGCCCAGAGGGGCCGUGAGGGGCUGCGCAGGGGGCAGCUCCGAGCUGGGCUUCGGGAACCUGCAACCGCGUCCGAGAGGUUUCUCAAAGUGGUGCUGCAGUAGCAGAAAUAACUGUGUGAAGAUACUGGGAAGUAAAACGGUGCUGAUACCAAGUCAAAAUUGUAUCCUUAUUGUAUCUCGAAAAUCAACCUUUCCUAAUGCAUUAUUCAUUACGAACACGUUAACUCAGGGUGACAUCAGACUGAUGCAGAAGCAAGUUGAUGGAAGUAUUGUCUAGGAAACCAUGCACUAUUCCCCUUAACCACCGAAAUUAAAUGAGUUAUCAGGCAAAUACUAAGUGCUGGUAUUUUAUCCACUUUUCUGCAACUGAUUUAAAAAAAAACAAACAACAGUAAAGCAUAGCAAAACUGAACUUAAUGUAUUGUGCAGGAAAUGUAUACACAGUAGAAAGAUACGUGUGUAUAUGCACAUCACUACUGUACUUACUAUUCUUGAUGCUGAUAAUUGCUUAUUACUGCUGAUACUUCUCCUGUGAGCAAUGGAGCGUAGGGUUUGGCUAAAAUAUAACAGCACUUGGUUUUUCAUACCUAACUAUCUGCUUGAGAAAGAUUCCGUGACGCUAAACUUGACAACCUUACUGUCGUGGUCAUGUAGUGUAGUGCAGAGGAAGGGAGGGAUAUGGGUGACAGGAUAAAAGGCGAGCAGGUAGAAGGAGCUCGUGGAGCAGCGUUGGGAUGUGGUGGUUUUACUCAGGUGGGCAGCUGAGUUCCACCACAGCCACUCUCUCACUCCCCUUCCUCAAAGAGGAAGGGGGAGAAAAUACGACACAAAGAGCUCA